RNAcentral lists this ribosomal RNA (550 nucleotides) under Colletotrichum sp. F107. RNAcentral describes it as "eukaryotic LSU rRNA". The stretch from base 187 to 340 matches the Rfam family "5.8S ribosomal RNA". Lineage: Eukaryota; Fungi; Ascomycota; Sordariomycetes; Glomerellales; Glomerellaceae. The record is from RNAcentral.
CGGAGGGAUCAUUACUGAGUUUACGCUCUACAACCCUUUGUGAACAUACCUAUAACUGUUGCUUCGGCGGGUAGGGUCUCCGCGACCCUCCCGGCCUCCCGCCUCCGGGCGGGUCGGCGCCCGCCGGAGGGAGGAUAACCAAACUCUGAUUUAACGACGUUCUGAGUGGUACAAGCAAAUAAUCAAAACUUUUAACAACGGAUCUCUUGGUUCUGGCAUCGAUGAAGAACGCAGCGAAAUGCGAUAAGUAAUGUGAAUUGCAGAAUUCAGUGAAUCAUCGAAUCUUUGAACGCACAUUGCGCCCGCCAGCAUUCUGGCGGGCAUGCCUGUUCGAGCGUCAUUUCAACCCUCAAGCUCUGCUUGGUGUUGGGGCCCUACAGCUGAUGUAGGCCCUCAAAGGUAGUGGCGGACCCUCUCGGACGGCCCGGACCGGACCCCCUGUGGGGCCGGCACUGGGAUCCGGAGGGACUCUUGCCGUAAAACCCCCAAUUUUCCAAAGGUUGACCUCGGAUCAGGUAGGAAUACCCGCUGAACUUAAGCAAGCAUAUCA